GACGAACGCUGGCGGCGUGCCUAAUACAUGCAAGUAGAACGCUGAAGGAGGAGCUUGCUCUUCUGGAUGAGUUGCGAACGGGUGAGUAACGCGUAGGUAACCUGCCUGGUAGCGGGGGAUAACUAUUGGAAACGAUAGCUAAUACCGCAUAACAGUAGAUGUUGCAUGACAUUUACUUAAAAGGUGCAAUUGCUUCACUACCAGAUGGACCUGCGUUGUAUUAGCUAGUUGGUGGGGUAACGGCUCACCAAGGCGACGAUACAUAGCCGACCUGAGAGGGUGAUCGGCCACACUGGGACUGAGACACGGCCCAGACUCCUACGGGAGGCAGCAGUAGGGAAUCUUCGGCAAUGGACGGAAGUCUGACCGAGCAACGCCGCGUGAGUGAAGAAGGUUUUCGGAUCGUAAAGCUCUGUUGUAAGAGAAGAACGAGUGUGAGAGUGGAAAGUUCACACUGUGACGGUAUCUUACCAGAAAGGGACGGCUAACUACGUG
RNAcentral lists this ribosomal RNA (495 nucleotides) under uncultured bacterium. RNAcentral describes it as "partial 16S ribosomal RNA". It matches the Rfam family "Bacterial small subunit ribosomal RNA", at positions 28 to 507 of the family's 1533-position model. The record is from RNAcentral.